GCUUACGGCCAUACCACCCUGAACACGCCCGAUCUCGUCUGAUCUCGGAAGCUCAGCAGGGUCGGGCCUGGUUAGUACUUGGAUGGGAGACCGCCUGGGAAUACCAGGUGCUGUAAGCU
Molecule: ribosomal RNA, 119 nt
Filed under: Cynoglossus semilaevis (tongue sole)
Lineage: Eukaryota; Metazoa; Chordata; Actinopteri; Pleuronectiformes; Cynoglossidae
Source: RNAcentral